Molecule: ribosomal RNA, 465 nt
Filed under: uncultured bacterium
Lineage: Bacteria
Description: partial 16S ribosomal RNA
Rfam family: Bacterial small subunit ribosomal RNA
Source: RNAcentral
CCUACGGGAGGCAGCAGUGGGGAAUUUUGCGCAAUGCUCGUAAGAGUGACGCAGCGACGCCGCGUGAAUGACGAAGGCCUUCGGGUCGUAAAGUUCUUUCGACAGGGAAGAAAAUGCCUAUAAGUAACUGUGUAUGUAUUGACGGUACCUGUAUAAGCAGCCCCGGCUAACUCCGUGCCAGCAGCCGCGGUAAUACGGAGGGGGCGAGCGUUGUUCGGAGGGACUGGGCGUAAAGAGCACGUAGGCGGUGUUGUACGUCAUUAGUCAAAGACUAGAGCUCAACUUUAGUAAGGCUAGUGAUACUAUAAUACUAGAGUAUCAGAGAGGAUUGCAGAAUUCCUGGUGUAGCGGUGAAAUGCGUAGAUAUCAGGAGGAAUACCGUUAGCGAAGGCGGCAAUCUGGCUGGAAACUGACGCUGAGGUGCGAAAGCGUGGGUAGCAAACAGGAUUAGAUACCCCAGUAGUC